GAUGAACGCUAGCGGCAGGCCUAAUACAUGCAAGACGAACGGUAAGUUGAGUAGCAAUACUUAGCCAAGAGUGUCGUACGGGUGCGUAACACGUAUGCAACCUACCCUAUACAGGAGGAUAGCCUAGGGAAACCUGGAUUAACCCUUCAUAGUAUUAUUGGAUGGCAUCAUUUGAUAAUUAAAACUGAGGUGGUAUAGGAUGGGCAUGCGUCUGAUUAGUUAGUUGGCGGGGUAAUGGCCCACCAAGACGAUGAUCAGUAGGGGGUUCUGAGAGGAAGAUCCCCCACACUGGCACUGAGAUACGGGCCAGACUCCUACGGGAGGCAGCAGUAGGGAAUAUUGGUCAAUGGAUGCAAGUCUGAACCAGCCAUGCCGCGUGCAGGAAGAAGGCCUUCUGGGGUUGUAAACUGCUUUUGCCAGGGGAUAAAAUUUCCAUGCGUGGAAAACUGAAGGUACCUGGUGAAUAAGCCACGGCUAACUACGUGCCAGCAGCCGCGGUAA
Molecule: ribosomal RNA, 501 nt
Filed under: uncultured bacterium
Lineage: Bacteria
Description: bacterial SSU rRNA
Rfam family: Bacterial small subunit ribosomal RNA
Source: RNAcentral